CCUACGGGGGACAGCAGUGAGGAAUAUUGGUCAAUGGGAGAGAUCCUGAACCAGCCAAGCCGCGUGAGGGAAGACGGCCCUAUGGGUUGUAAACCUCUUUUGUCGGGGAACAAAACCCGGGACGUGUCCCGGACUGCGUGUAUCCGAAGAAAAAGCAUCGUCAAACUCCGUGCCAGCAGCCGCGGUAAUACGGUGGAUGCGAGCGUUAUCGGGAUUUAUUGGGGUAAAAGGGUGGGUAGGCGGUCCGUUAAGUCAGCGGUAAAAUUGCGGGGCUAAACCCCGUCGAGCCGUUGAAACUGGCAGACUUGAGUGGGCGAGAAGUACGCGGAAUGCGCGGUGUAGCGGUGAAAUGCGUAGAUAUCGCGCAGAACUCCGAUUGCGAAGGCAGCGUACCGGCGCCAGACUGACGCUGAGGCACGAAAGCGUGGGGAUCGAACAGGAUUAGAUACCCCUGUAGUC
RNAcentral lists this ribosomal RNA (459 nucleotides) under uncultured bacterium. Its description in RNAcentral is "partial 16S ribosomal RNA". It matches the Rfam family "Bacterial small subunit ribosomal RNA", at positions 338 to 795 of the family's 1533-position model. The record is from RNAcentral.